This is a long non-coding RNA of Onychostoma macrolepis, 891 nucleotides long. RefSeq lists it as uncharacterized. NCBI's taxonomy places the organism in Eukaryota, Metazoa, Chordata, Actinopteri, Cypriniformes, Cyprinidae. The transcript is spliced from 2 exons. The record is from RefSeq and is a predicted model, not a curated record.
ACUCAAAACUUGUAGCCUACCGCUUACGACCACAGAUGAUCCGCAUAAAAUAUCUACAUAUAUCAUAUCUUAGAUCGCAAAAGUAGCUAAAAAGAAAUUUGCAUCUAAAGCCUUGGAGGCCCAAACCACACUUCGGCAGGACCUCUCACUCCGCCCCUCGGUCAACAUUAGAUCUGCUCUAAAGUGCGGCAGGUGCGUGGAGAGAUCAGCACCUUUACAGCUGCGGGAAGAGGAGAGGGGGCAUGAUUUUUGUCGACUAUAAAAACCCGUCACUGGCCAGGCUGAUUCAUUGGAUCUGCAGGUACGGAAACGAGCAUGUCGACUGAGUGAGGCCUUCCACCAGAACAACUUGGAUGUGAAACUACAGAGGUGAGCAAGACAGGUUAUGGGCAGGGAACACGCCUGAAAAAUGAGAUCAAAGAAAAGCUACGGAUUCCCAUUUUUGACACUAUUUUCUACAGUAAUUUUGGAGUUUAUCACCAAUGCACCCCCAGAGCCUCAAUGGAUAAACUGCACUUGCUUUACGUUGAGCCACACGCACAAUACAUGUGGAUUCAGUUUUGUUCGUUCGGCUCGCGUUAAGCAAGUGCAGAACUUCCUCGGUACCAAACUUCAGUGACAUUUUUGGAUUGAAAGCAAGAGCAACUGCUAUAAUGGAAAAUAAAUGGAAAAUAAGAAUCCAAACCACACACAGGCGAUGUGAGAGAUUCGCUAACAAAUGAAUGAGCUGCAACUUAUCUGUCUUCUGCAAUGGUCAUGAUUUACAAUGUCACCUGUUAUCCAACAUGUUUGUUGAGAGAUGCACUUCCUCUCUCCUGUGCUGUUUAUAAAUGAGGGUGAAGUUCUCAUGCUGCAGUGAUGUAACGGCAAAAUAAAGUUCUUAACUCCUCA